AAUAUUUGAAGUUCAAACUAUUUUUUUUUGUUUUUGUACGUGAUGAUAUAAUGUUAUUGAACAACUUUCUGAACUUUCAGGCCACAAGCUGGAGAGAUUAAAAAGAUUGUUCAAAAUAUAAUGAAUAUAUUGGAUUGUAAAUCUUCAUUCAUUUCAAAAGAUUUAGUUGGGAUAAAUUCUCGGA
RNAcentral lists this microRNA precursor (184 nucleotides) under Medicago truncatula (barrel medic). RNAcentral describes it as "miR5237 stem-loop (mtr-MIR5237)". The record is from miRBase by way of RNAcentral. Lineage: Eukaryota; Viridiplantae; Streptophyta; Magnoliopsida; Fabales; Fabaceae.